Molecule: long non-coding RNA, 401 nt
Filed under: Corvus moneduloides (New Caledonian crow)
Lineage: Eukaryota; Metazoa; Chordata; Aves; Passeriformes; Corvidae
Description: lncRNA (ENSCMUG00000019390.1)
Source: RNAcentral
GUUUAAAUGGAUUUUGCCAAGAGAUGAGAACUGAAGAUUUAAGGAGGUAAAAAUCAAAAAAAGGGCUAUGCAAUGUGGUGUUUUUUUAGUGCUUACUGAUCUGAUAUUCAGGAUGGGAAGGAGAUCAAAGGAAUAAAGGCUAAAAUAUUAUGAUGGUCUGAAUGACUAGUGCCAUUCAAGAUUCAAAAUGAUGGCUCGAGCUCACUUAUUGGUGCCAUAAGAUCACUGAUCACCAUCACAAGUUUGCAAACUAAAAAGCAGGAAUGUGGACUUCAUUCCAUAGUCUUACUCUGAAGAAAAAAGAGCUACAAAGAAUAAUGACCCAUGACUUCUGGAGAGGAACACGGUUGUUUCAUGUUUGCUUGCAUUAUUCAGAAACAUUUUGCAUCUUCUCUUCCUAA